AGAACGAACGCUGGCGGCAGGCCUCAAACAUGCAAGUCUAGGGGGUGUAGCAAUACAUCACCGGCGGACGGGUGCGUAACACGUGGGAAUAUACCUUUCGGUACGGAACAACUGCGGGAAACUGCAGCUAAUACCGUAUACGUCCUUACGGAGAAAGAUUUAUCGCCGAAGGAUUAGCCCGCGUUCGAUUAGCUAGUUGGUGAGGUAAUGGCUCACCAAGGCGACGAUCGAUAGCUGUUCUGAGAGGAAGAUCAGCCACACUGGGACUGAGACACGGCCCAGACUCCUACGGGAGGCAGCAGUUGGGAAUCUUGGACAAUGGGGGAAACCCUGAUCCAGCCAUGCCGCGUGAGUGAUGAAGGCCUUCGGGUUGUAAAACUCUUUCGACGGGGACGAUAAUGACGGUACCCGUAGAAGAAGCUCCGGCUAACUUCGUGCCAGCAGCCGC
Molecule: ribosomal RNA, 448 nt
Filed under: uncultured bacterium
Lineage: Bacteria
Description: SSU rRNA
Rfam family: Bacterial small subunit ribosomal RNA
Source: RNAcentral